This 433-nucleotide unclassified non-coding RNA is filed under the name uncultured Russula. Its description in RNAcentral is "sequence contains ITS2". The stretch from base 1 to 154 matches the Rfam family "5.8S ribosomal RNA". Lineage: Eukaryota; Fungi; Basidiomycota; Agaricomycetes; Russulales; Russulaceae. The record is from RNAcentral.
AACUUUCAGCAACGGAUCUCUUGGCUCUCGCAUCGAUGAAGAACGCAGCGAAAUGCGAUACGUAAUGUGAAUUGCAGAAUUCUGUGAAUCAUCGAAUCUUUGAACGCACCUUGCGCCCCUUGGAAUUCCGAGGGGCACACCCGUUUGAGUGUCGUGAACAUCCUUCAACCUUUCUUGGUUUCUUAACCGGGGAAGGCUUGGACUUUGGGGGUCUUUCAUUGCUGGCCUCUUUGAAGCCAGCUCCUCCUAAAUGGAUUAGUGUGGUCUGCUUUGCCGAUCCUUGACGUGAUAAGAUGUUUCUACGUCUUGGGUUUCGCACUGUCGCUUUAGACCCCGCUUCUAACCGUCUUGCAUUCAAGACAGAGUUUUAAACCUUGACCUCAAAUCGGGUGAGACUACCCGCUGAACUUAAGCAUAUCAAUAAGCGGAGGCU